AGAGUAAACAGAGAGGGCACUGUAUCUUUAAUCACCACACCAGUGACUUUCCCCUAGAGAGGUUCAUGCACUGCCCUCUGAAUGUGCUGACUUCUGAGGUAUCCACACAUGAGGCAAACUCAACUACAUGGUUUGUGGUGGAGGCUGCCUUCA
This 153-nucleotide small nuclear RNA is filed under the name Mus pahari (shrew mouse). RNAcentral's name for it is "snRNA (MGP_PahariEiJ_G0033103.1)". The record is from RNAcentral. Lineage: Eukaryota; Metazoa; Chordata; Mammalia; Rodentia; Muridae.